CGUUGGUUAAUAUCGACCAGACUACACAGCGCAACAACACAGAAGAUGGAAAUCUUCAAGUGAUUUAAUGUUUAAAAUAAAUUCCAUUUGUAAAUUUCUGGACCUAAGGCAGGACAUACAAAGAGGAAACUAGUUGCAAGAGAUGGGCUUCCAAAAUUGACUGUAAAAACCUUAAAUCUGAUCACAGUGUUGUUUAGAGACCAAUUUUCUGUUAUAGGUGAUCCUUGUGCAGUAGUAAGAAAGACAUAACCAUACAAAAUAUUCAGUUUCCUACAUUUUCUGCUUAUCUUGGACACACAGAUCUCUCCCGAAAGCACUCUUAAGUCCUUAGAGAACUGGUUGACACUUAUGGUAUUUUACAGCAUGACAGCAAGAAAGGAUUAAGGUUUGAGGAGUAGUUAAGUGUCUCUAACCUCAAUCUCUUUGAGAUACAUCACAUUUAAGCUGAUUAAGUUCUGAAACCAAUUCAUAAGAGAAUAAACAUUACAUCAAGGAUGAAAUACAGGCAGACAUGCACCAGGACUCAAAUGAUCUAUGUGAGCCAUGAUAGCUCAGUCAGUAAAGUGACCAGCUGACUUGGAUAGCUUGGUCCUACCCAACCUUCUAUCAAAUGGGUAAUGGGCAAUAGGGACCCUACAUGGAGUUCCAUGCGUUCCCGCUGCGACGUCUGUAGCUGCCGCAUCAGUUCCUCAUCUUUUCCGGUUGUUCCCGAUCGCUCUGGUGGCCAGCUUGCCAAUCGUAGUUGAGCUUCAAGGCCAGAGCGUUGGACUUCACUAUUUGCCAACUCUGUCUGCAGCCGCUGGUUCUGAUCAGAGAGAUGUUGAUUGGUAUGUCGCAGCUCAGCCAAUGUUUGUUGUGACGCUUCAAGGCGUUCUGUGAUCACUCUGCGUUCAUUUUCACUGUUGGUCAAUGAUUUUUGAAGCUGUGAAAAUAAAUAAGUGAAAAGUAUAAGCCAAAGGCUAAGAUUCAGUCUCAAUGAAAAUGUGCACUUUUAUUUAUUGGUUACUUCAUAAUACUGUAUCUAUUAAAACCAAGAUUUCAACUUCUGAAUACAAAGUAUGAAAGCUAACCACUUUACUAUGACAUUCAGUAAUACUGUAUCAACUACUAGGAUAUCGUGAAUGAUGAACACAUUUAUUCAUAGGUUAUUUAACACUGAUGUAUAAACUGCAGAAAUCA
Long non-coding RNA from Zootermopsis nevadensis, 1179 nucleotides. RefSeq lists it as uncharacterized. The record is from RefSeq and is a predicted model, not a curated record. Lineage: Eukaryota; Metazoa; Arthropoda; Insecta; Blattodea; Termopsidae.